This 468-nucleotide ribosomal RNA is filed under the name uncultured bacterium. RNAcentral describes it as "partial 16S ribosomal RNA". It matches the Rfam family "Bacterial small subunit ribosomal RNA", at positions 28 to 507 of the family's 1533-position model. The record is from RNAcentral.
GACGAACGCUGGCGGCGUGCUUAACACAUGCAAGUCGAACGGAAAGGCCCGGCUUUUGUGUGUCUCUCGUUUGCGGAAGGGGGGAGAAAAACGCGUGUAACCCCCCCUUAUCUUUGGGUUAUCUCUAGGAAACUGGGGCUAUACCCGCAAAGGAUCUCUUGCUCCAUGUGGGGGGUUGGAAAGUUUCGGCGGUUGGGGAUGGACUCGCGGCUUACCAGCUGGUUGGUGGGGUAGUGGCUUACCAGGCCUUUGAAGGGUAGCCGGCCUGGGAGCGUGACCGGCCACAAUGGGACUGAGAUACGGCCCAGACUCCUACGGGAGGCAGCAGUGGGGAAUAUUGCACAAUGGGCGGAAGCCUGAUGCAGCAACGCCGCGUGCGGGAUGACGGCCUUCGGGUUGUAAACCGCUUUCGCCUGUGACGAAGCGUGAGUGACGGUAAUGGGUAAAGAAGCAACGGCUAACUACGUG